Long non-coding RNA from Ornithodoros turicata, 349 nucleotides. RefSeq lists it as uncharacterized. The transcript has 4 exons. NCBI's taxonomy places the organism in Eukaryota, Metazoa, Arthropoda, Arachnida, Ixodida, Argasidae. The record is from RefSeq and is a predicted model, not a curated record.
GCAGGCAAGAAGACCACUGCUCGACCUUGCAGCUCCCAAGGCAGCAAUGAUGAUUCAAUCCAUGACACCAUCUCUGGCACAUUAGAUGAAAUGUGUGGUACAUCAUUUGCUGGAAUGAGUGGUGAAGCAACUAGUCAUCCACGUCAGCACGAAAAUGUUGCCUCCACAACAGAGUUUCAGAAGCAGGUCCUGCAACUUUUACACCUGGUGCGACUGACACAACAAAGGGACAGUGCUGUACUCCAUGAACUUUGCGCACAGAGGAUCACUAGUACGGCUGCGAAACCACUAGGAGCACUAAUAAAACAGCCAUUUGCAUCUUCCGAAGACUUCGAGCAGUUUGAUUCAU